AGCGAACGCUGGCGGCAGGCUUAACACAUGCAAGUCGAACGCCUGUAGCAAUACAGGAGUGGCAGACGGGUGAGUAACGCGUGGGAACGUGCCCUUUGGUUCGGGAUAACCCAGGGAAACUUGGGCUAAUACCGGAUACGUCCCUAACGGGAGAAAGAUUUAUUGCCGAAGGAUCGGCCCGCGUCCGAUUAGCUAGUUGGUGGGGUAAUGGCUCACCAAGGCGACGAUCGGUAGCUGGUCUGAGAGGAUGAUCAGCCACACUGGGACUGAGACACGGCCCAGACUCCUACGGGAGGCAGCAGUGGGGAAUAUUGGACAAUGGGCGCAAGCCUGAUCCAGCCAUGCCGCGUGGGUGAUGAAGGCCCUAGGGUUGUAAAGCCCUUUCGGCGGGGAAGAUAAUGACGGUACCCGCAGAAGAAGCCCCGGCUAACUUCGUGCCAGCAGCCGCCGUAACAC
This 456-nucleotide ribosomal RNA is filed under the name uncultured bacterium. RNAcentral describes it as "bacterial SSU rRNA". It matches the Rfam family "Bacterial small subunit ribosomal RNA", at positions 29 to 526 of the family's 1533-position model. The record is from RNAcentral.